RNAcentral lists this long non-coding RNA (2505 nucleotides) under Paramuricea clavata. Lineage: Eukaryota; Metazoa; Cnidaria; Anthozoa; Malacalcyonacea; Plexauridae. The record is from RNAcentral.
GUUAGUACAUGUGGUGGGCUUAUACAUGGGGGGCCUAUAUUCGGGGGGGGGGGCUUAUAGUCGGAGGUUUACGGUAUUUACAUAUGUAUACGACGAUUGUACACCCGGGGAUAAUACUCUACGGAGACAUUUUAACACGCGUGCGGCAUACUUUGAAAACAUAAGACAUUUCGGGUAAUUGGUGAACGCGCGCGGAGGACCAAGGGAAGGAAGCGAAGACAGCAAAAAAUCCCGGGUGCAUUUACAAGUCGUCCGCGUGUUUAACUAAAAAACGUAUUCGAGAGCCGAAACGUAAAGCCUGGUUCAAUUCCAUAUGCCGGUCGUAACGGUCGUAAAGAUUGAGUCACGAUCUUUCUCAUCAGCCGAAGUACAACAUUUUAGAACUGAAAAUACGCGGAGUGAAUCCGAGUGAUAAUAACUACAGGGGACGGUUUUUCAAAGGUGGGUUAAUACUAACCUAGUAACCCUGGGUUAAAAUUUAAACUGCUGUUUUAGUUUGUGUAGUUCUACACAUUGAUCUGUGUAUUUCAAAACUUCAGAGAAGUAAACUCCUAUCGAUCCAGACAAGAUCUCUGAAGAAGUAUCAGUCCAAAUUUAUAGAAAAGCUGUCAGGAAGUUUGCUUCGAAUUUUAGGUUAACCAAGGGUUAAGCUAACCCAGCUUUGAACAACUGGCUCCUGAAUAUUUAUGAUUCAUAUGUGGUUUACAGGUAUUUAACAAAUAUAAAACAUUUUCCGUGUUGAUAUACAGUUAUAUCAACACGAAUGGAAAUUGGGAAAACGAGAAAUUGUGUGGAAACCCGAAGGGCGGAGUGCUUUCACAUAAUUUCGAGUUUUCACAAUUUCCACGAGUGUUGACAUGGUUAUAUAUCAAUGCGGAAAAAAGUUUUUAUAUUUGUUUUCUAAGAUAGCACAAAGAAAUAUAAAGAAAGAAAUUUUCCAACGUUUCCGUGUUGACAUAGAGUUAUAUCAACACGGCUCUUAGCUAGCCAAUCAGCAUUCAGAAUUUACAAAUGCUAUAUUAUAAAAACUGUUAUAAACUGGCCGUUGAGAAAGAUCGUGAUACGACCAUAUGGAAAUAUACUCAAAUUCGAACUUAUUUCGAAGAACUCUUCAUUAUGUUCGCUAGACCAUUUCAAGUUUGUUAUUUUUAUCGCUCACAUGACAGCCUCACCUUCCGUGCUAUUGUUUGCAUUUCCGUUUUGCGGAAUGGUUUCAAGUAACAAUUUUGACGUCAAUAUCAUUUCACAAGACGAUAUUGUCGCAGUUUUUGAGACAACGAAAUCGAUACAAUUCACAAACACGAAAGUUUUAUGUUAUAUAUAUUGUUCGGAAAUUUGAAAACACCUGUAAAUUAUUGUAUGGUUAAGAAAUUUCAUGACUGUAAACUAGGGUGAGUACGUCAUUGCACAAUGAGCGUAACGAAUCAACAGAAUGUCAAAAGGACAAAGAUUUGUCAACAAUGCUUAUAGGUUCCCCUACAGCUUAAAUCACUGACUCCAUUUCUAGCUCAAUGUAUUCAUAUAUUCGACAUUUAUAGAAUGAUAAAUUUGACACUGAAUGCAUGUCCUUGCCUAUAUAGUUACUCUGUGAAAAUAAACGAGGUUCAAUCUAACUAUACAAGCGACAAAAUCCAAAAGGCUGCUAACUGCCUUGUUCGAUUUCCAGUAUUAUUCAACCAGGAUCGGAUAAACUUUCAUGAAUGUAACUAUCUCUGUGCAAAAUUUAAAAGGAUUUUGAAAUAACGUGGCAGUUCUAUUCAGUGCUAACUUUUGGGGGAUUUUGUAACCGAACUGAUCCGAGAUUAAACUAGUUAACUAGCCGCAAGCCCUAAAACCUACUUCCGCAAACAGCGCAAAUUAAAGCAUUCAAAAUUUCCGUCAUAUUAAAUUUACAAAUAUGUACCAUACAAAACUCGAUACAAAUAUCAUAUAUUACAACUUGUUUGCUAAACUUAGUUGAUAUUAUAGUUGUUUCAACUACUAAAAAGCAAGAUCAAUAUUUUUGCUAAACAACGCCUAUCGCAUUUGGAAUGACAAAACGUGCGUGCACAGACAUGUUCCAUUUAUGUUUAUAUUGAGGGCUACGAAAAAUGAGAAUAGUAAUGGCAAAUGCAUUAUAUAUUAGAAACUUGCUGUUAUAUUAGGAAUAAGUCGAGGAUUUUGAACUAUAUUUGUUUGUAUAAGCCAAUACUAGACUCCUGGCUCAAGAUAGAGGGGUCAUAUUGAACCAUCAAAAUUGGAAGAUGUUUAAUCGUACCUUCACAUUCUUCUUUCUUCGCCCCGUCCAAUGGUAUGAGAUUUCCCAUAUUAUUGACUUUGUUAGAAUAGAAAUGAUCUUUCUUAUGGCUUUCGACUGUACCUGGCUCUCGGCCUUAUAGCAAGCUGUCAGUUGGGGAAUGUGCUUAUAUACACAACGAUAUUGUUACACAAUGCAUGCAUACUAGCACGUGAUGAUGCGACGAGCUGACACGCGAUAUCCGCAUAUCGGUUCCGCCUUGGUCAAUU